GAGGAUCAUUCUCAUAAGGGGAACACU
RNAcentral lists this non-coding RNA (27 nucleotides) under Rattus norvegicus (Norway rat). Lineage: Eukaryota; Metazoa; Chordata; Mammalia; Rodentia; Muridae. The record is from RNAcentral.